This 253-nucleotide non-coding RNA is filed under the name uncultured bacterium. RNAcentral describes it as "partial 16S ribosomal RNA". It matches the Rfam family "Bacterial small subunit ribosomal RNA", at positions 524 to 776 of the family's 1533-position model. The record is from RNAcentral. RNAcentral also lists the same sequence under 1 other name.
UACGGAGGGUGCAAGCGUUAUCCGGAUUUAUUGGGUUUAAAGGGUCCGUAGGCGGACCGAUAAGUCAGUGGUGAAAUCUCAUAGCUUAACUAUGAAACUGCCAUUGAUACUGUCGGUCUUGAGUAAAUUUGAAGUGGCUGGAAUAAGUAGUGUAGCGGUGAAAUGCAUAGAUAUUACUUAGAACACCAAUUGCGAAGGCAGGUCACUAAGAUUUAACUGACGCUGAGGGACGAAAGCGUGGGUAGCGAACAGG